UACGAGUGCUCCAAGCGUUAUCCGGAAUUAUUGGGCGUAAAGGGUGUGUAGGUGGUUGUGUUAGUCUUCUGUUAAAUUCUUCGGCUUAACCGGGGGCAUGCAGAAGAAACGGCACAACUAGAGGAUGCGAGAGGUAUAUGGAACUCAUGGAGUAGGGGUGAAAUCCGUUGAUAUCAUGGGGAACACCAAAAGCGAAGGCAAUAUACUGGCGCACUCCUGACACUGAAACACGAAAGCGUAGGUAGCGAAUGGG
Molecule: unclassified non-coding RNA, 253 nt
Filed under: uncultured Parcubacteria group bacterium
Lineage: Bacteria
Description: contains 16S-23S intergenic spacer region
Rfam family: Bacterial small subunit ribosomal RNA
Source: RNAcentral